This 465-nucleotide ribosomal RNA is filed under the name uncultured bacterium. RNAcentral describes it as "bacterial SSU rRNA". It matches the Rfam family "Bacterial small subunit ribosomal RNA", at positions 338 to 795 of the family's 1533-position model. The record is from RNAcentral.
CCUACGGGUGGCACCAGUGGGGAAUAUUGCACAAUGGGCGCAAGCCUGAUGCAGCCAUGCCGCGUGUGUGAAGAAGGCCUUCGGGUUGUAAAGCACUUUCAGCGGGGAGGAAGGCGUUAAGGUUAAUAACCUUGGCGAUUGACGUUACCCGCAGAAGGAGCACCGGCUAACUCCGUGCCAGCAGCCGCGGUAAUACGGAGGGUGCAAGCGUUAAUCGGAAUUACUGGGCGUAAAGCGCACGCAGGCGGUCUGUCAAGUCGGAUGUGAGAUCCCCGGGCACAACCUGGGAACUGCAUUCGAAGCUGGCAGGCUAGAGUCUUGUAGAGGGGGGUAGAAUUCCUGGUGUAGCGGUGAAAUGCGUAGAGAUCUGGAGGAAUACCGGUGGCGAAGGCGGCCCCCUGGACAAAGACUGACGCUCAGGUGCGAAAGCGUGGGGAGCAAACAGGAUUAGAUACCCCUGUAGUC